RNAcentral lists this small RNA (857 nucleotides) under Arabidopsis thaliana (thale cress). RNAcentral's name for it is "ATSL216850". Lineage: Eukaryota; Viridiplantae; Streptophyta; Magnoliopsida; Brassicales; Brassicaceae. The record is from RNAcentral.
GUUAUUUAUGUAUUUACAACCUAAUUAUUAAGACGUAUGAAGUUUAGUGCGUUUUAACUUGAAAAAUGUUCAAAACAAAUAUUAUUUACAAAAUAUAUCGAUUAAUUAUUUGUUAUGUAAUUUUUGAGAAUAAGCAUCUGAUCAUUUUCAACUUAAAACGCACCAAACAUAAAUUCAUAAACAAAUCACAUAACAAAUAAUUAAUAGUUAUAUUUUCUAGAUAGAAUUUGUUUUGAUUGAUUAAAAACUAACCUGCCAUCUGACGUCGAUGUUAUUCAUAUGAACCAGAUACCACUGUCUGAUGAUCAUUGUCUUAGGCGCCUACUACGUCUACAGUUCUGUGGUCAGAUAGCUCCGUGGGUUGGCUUUUUAUUGGCUCACAUAUCUGGAUUGAUUGUAUCUUCGUGGAGAUAUAUUAGUUGCACUGUUCCAUGUCUGUUCACUAAUAUCAGACAGUUUCUUCGAUUCAUGUGGGCUGAAGUAUCAGCAUUCUGGAAAACCCACUCGAAUUUUAUUGUGUUUGCAGUUCUUUUGUUGUUGACAGCCACAUGCAUUGAAGCAUCAUUACUUUACUUUUUAAUCUAAGUUUCAUACCAGCCAAGUUUGGCCUAAACUGAAUUCGUCGAGUCCUUCUGCUUUGGGUGGCCACACGUUUAUUAUGGCUUUUCUUCCAUAAUUUUGUGUUGUGCUGCUCAGAUAUCCGAUAUCAUACUAUAUUCCCAAAACAACAUACAAAAGUUAUUGUUAAUAUCUGAAAUAACAAUUAGUGUGUUCAAAACAUCAUUUUUAACAAGAUUUCACUAAAUCUAUUCCAUGCUUAUGUUUUGCUUAGCUUUUGCAUUUUGCUUAUUUUUUUU